Molecule: ribosomal RNA, 1294 nt
Filed under: uncultured bacterium
Lineage: Bacteria
Description: bacterial SSU rRNA
Rfam family: Bacterial small subunit ribosomal RNA
Source: RNAcentral
GAGGGGCAGCGGAGGCGAGUGCUUGCACUUGCCAGACGGCGACCGGCGCACGGGUGAGUAACACGUAUGCGACCUGCCCGUAGCAGGGGGAUAAGCGGAAGAAAUUCCGUCUAAUACCGCGUAAUAUCUUUCGGGGGCAUCCCUGAGGGAUUAAAGGAAGCGAUUCCGGCUACGGAUGGGCAUGCGGCGCAUUAGCUAGUCGGCGGGGUAACGGCCCACCGAGGCGACGAUGCGUAGGGGUUCUGAGAGGAAGGUCCCCCACACUGGUACUGAGACACGGACCAGACUCCUACGGGAGGCAGCAGUGAGGAAUAUUGGUCAAUGGGCGAGAGCCUGAACCAGCCAAGUCGCGUGAGGGAAGACGGUCCUAUGGAUUGUAAACCUCUUUUGUCGGGGAGCAAAAAGGCCUCGUGAGGCCACAAGCGAGAGUACCCGAAGAAAAAGCAUCGGCUAACUCCGUGCCAGCAGCCGCGGUAAUACGGAGGAUGCGAGCGUUAUCCGGAUUUAUUGGGUUUAAAGGGUGCGUAGGCGGACUGGAAAGUCAGCGGUAAAAUCGAGAGGCUCAACCUCUUUCCGCCGUUGAAACUGUCGGUCUUGAGUGGGCGAGAAGUAUGCGGAAUGCGUGGUGUAGCGGUGAAAUGCAUAGAUUUCACGCAGAACUCCGAUUGCGAAGGCAGCAUACCGGCGCCCAACUGACGCUGAGGCACGAAAGCGUGGGUAUCGAACAGGAUUAGAUACCCUGGUAGUCCACGCAGUAAACGAUGAAUACUAAUUGUCCGGUCAGAAUGAUGACUGGGUGAUACAGCGAAAGCGUUAAGUAUUCCACCUGGGGAGUACGCCGGCAACGGUGAAACUCAAAGGAAUUGACGGGGGCCCGCACAAGCGGAGGAACAUGUGGUUUAAUUCGAUGAUACGCGAGGAACCUUACCCGGGCUCAAACGUAGAAUGACAGACGGUGAAAGCCGUUCUCCCUUCGGGGCAGUCUACGAGGUGCUGCAUGGUUGUCGUCAGCUCGUGCCGUGAGGUGUCGGCUUAAGUGCCAUAACGAGCGCAACCCCCAUCUACAGUCGCUAACAGGUAAAGCUGAGGACUCUGUGGAGACUGCCGGCGCAAGCUGUGAGGAAGGCGGGGAUGACGUCAAAUCAGCACGGCCCUUACGUCCGGGGCGACACACGUGUUACAAUGGCAGGUACAGCGGGAAGCCAUAUGGCGACAUAGAGCGGAACCCGAAAACCUGUCUCAGUUCGGAUUGGAGUCUGCAACUCGACUCCAUGAAGCUGGAUUCGCUAGUAAU